This 141-nucleotide ribosomal RNA is filed under the name uncultured eukaryote. Its description in RNAcentral is "partial 18S ribosomal RNA". It matches the Rfam family "Eukaryotic small subunit ribosomal RNA", at positions 1299 to 1458 of the family's 1831-position model. The record is from RNAcentral.
UGGUGAAGUGAUUUGUCUGGUUAAUUCCGAUAACGAACGAGACCGCAGCCUACUAAAUAGCACACGUUUUCUCACGAAAGCGUGUUUCGCUUCUUAGAGGGACUUUCCGUUUCAAGCGGAAGGAAGCUUGCGGCAAUAGCA